UUGCUCCUCUGACGUUAGCGGCGGACGGGUGAGUAACACGUGGAUAACCUACCUAUAAGACUGGGAUAACUUCGGGAAACCGGAGCUAAUACCGGAUAAUAUAUUGAACCGCAUGGUUCAAUAGUGAAAGACGGUUUUGCUGUCACUUAUAGAUGGAUCCGCGCCGCAUUAGCUAGUUGGUAAGGUAACGGCUUACCAAGGCAACGAUGCGUAGCCGACCUGAGAGGGUGAUCGGCCACACUGGAACUGAGACACGGUCCAGACUCCUACGGGAGGCAGCAGUAGGGAAUCUUCCGCAAUGGGCGAAAGCCUGACGGAGCAACGCCGCGUGAGUGAUGAAGGUCUUCGGAUCGUAAAACUCUGUUAUUAGGGAAGAACAAAUGUGUAAGUAACUAUGCACGUCUUGACGGUACCUAAUCAGAAAGCCACGGCUAACUACGUGCCAGCAGCCGCGGUAAUACGUAGGUGGCAAGCGUUAUCCGGAAUUAUUGGGCGUAAAGCGCGCGUAGGCGGUUUUUUAAGUCUGAUGUGAAAGCCCACGGCUCAACCGUGGAGGGUCAUUGGAAACUGGAAAACUUGAGUGCAGAAGAGGAAAGUGGAAUUCCAUGUGUAGCGGUGAAAUGCGCAGAGAUAUGGAGGAACACCAGUGGCGAAGGCGACUUUCUGGUCUGUAACUGACGCUGAUGUGCGAAAGCGUGGGGAUCAAACAGGAUUAGAUACCCUGGUAGUCCACGCCGUAAACGAUGAGUGCUAAGUGUUAGGGGGUUUCCGCCCCUUAGUGCUGCAGCUAACGCAUUAAGCACUCCGCCUGGGGAGUACGACCGCAAGGUUGA
Molecule: ribosomal RNA, 833 nt
Filed under: Staphylococcus sp. LIPOA/UEL_35
Lineage: Bacteria; Bacillati; Bacillota; Bacilli; Caryophanales; Staphylococcaceae
Description: bacterial SSU rRNA
Rfam family: Bacterial small subunit ribosomal RNA
Source: RNAcentral